RNAcentral lists this transfer RNA (77 nucleotides) under Methanothermobacter sp. RNAcentral describes it as "tRNA-Ile". It matches the Rfam family "tRNA". From Rfam's summary of the family: Transfer RNA (tRNA) molecules are approximately 80 nucleotides in length. Their secondary structure includes four short double-helical elements and three loops (D, anti-codon, and T loops). Further hydrogen bonds mediate the characteristic L-shaped molecular structure. tRNAs have two regions of fundamental functional importance: the anti-codon, which is responsible for specific mRNA codon recognition, and the 3' end, to which the tRNAs corresponding amino acid is attached (by aminoacyl-tRNA synthetases). tRNAs cope with the degeneracy of the genetic code in two manners: having more than one tRNA (with a specific anti-codon) for a particular amino acid; and 'wobble' base-pairing, i.e. permitting non-standard base-pairing at the 3rd anti-codon position. RNAcentral also lists the same sequence under 4 other names. The record is from RNAcentral. Lineage: Archaea; Methanobacteriati; Methanobacteriota; Methanobacteria; Methanobacteriales; Methanobacteriaceae.
GGGCCCAUAGCUCAGUCGGUUAGAGCGCACCCCUGAUAAGGGUGAGGUCACAAGUUCGAAUCUUGUUGGGCCCACCA